AAUGAAUUGACGGGGGCCCGCACAAGCGGUGGAGCAUGUGGUUUAAUUCGAUGCAACGCGAAGAACCUUACCUGGUCUUGACAUCCACAGAACUUUCCAGAGAUGGAUUGGUGCCUUCGGGAACUGUGAGACAGGUGCUGCAUGGCUGUCGUCAGCUCGUGUUGUGAAAUGUUGGGUUAAGUCCCGCAACGAGCGCAACCCUUAUCCUUUGUUGCCAGCGGUCCGGCCGGGAACUCAAAGGAGACUGCCAGUGAUAAACUGGAGGAAGGUGGGGAUGACGUCAAGUCAUCAUGGCCCUUACGACCAGGGCUACACACGUGCUACAAUGGCGCAUACAAAGAGAAGCGACCUCGCGAGAGCAAGCGGACCUCAUAAAGUGCGUCGUAGUCCGGAUUGGAGUCUGCAACUCGACUCCAUGAAGUCGGAAUCGCUAGUAAUCGUGGAUCAGAAUGCCACGGUGAAUACGUUCCCGGGCCUUGUACACACCGCCCGUCACACCAUGGGAGUGGGUUGCAAAAGAAGUAGGUAGCUUAACCUUCGGGAGGGCGCUUACCACUUUGUGAUUCAUGACUGGGGUGAAGUCGUAACAAGGUAACCGUAGGGGAACCUGCGGUUGGAUCACCUCCUUA
This 629-nucleotide ribosomal RNA is filed under the name Salmonella enterica. RNAcentral's name for it is "bacterial SSU rRNA". It matches the Rfam family "Bacterial small subunit ribosomal RNA", at positions 903 to 1533 of the family's 1533-position model. The record is from RNAcentral. Lineage: Bacteria; Pseudomonadati; Pseudomonadota; Gammaproteobacteria; Enterobacterales; Enterobacteriaceae.